RNAcentral lists this long non-coding RNA (1625 nucleotides) under Homo sapiens (human). Its description in RNAcentral is "HSALNT0055119". The record is from RNAcentral. Lineage: Eukaryota; Metazoa; Chordata; Mammalia; Primates; Hominidae.
GGCUUGUCAGUUUAUACUCCUUUGUAAUUAAGAACAAAAGUUCCAAAAAGCUAUUUAAAAAUUAGCAUGGUCUUCACGAAAGACUUUUGUGAAGUGUCUGAAAACCUUCCCCCACCGUUGGAGGACUGAGAGCCUGAGUGUGGCAAUGUGCGCGAGCCUCAGAAGCCGUUCCUGGCCCACCUGCUAACAGCAGCUGUCGCCUUCUGAGCAGCUCCUCCUGGGACUUCCCCUCAUUCUCAGCCUGGAUUCCCACUCUUACCUCAACAGACACGGGCUGUGGGGCGGUCACUGCUCAAGUCACACAGAGAGGAGCCAGAACUCAGCCCAGCAGGCUGCAUCCAGGGCCCCACGUGUCCUCAUUGCCAGCUCUCCUCCUCAGGCCUCCACUGCACUCCUCCAUCCUCUUUUUGGUCCCCCUAAAUAUUCCAGCUUCCUUCCCACUUCUGAGCUUUUGUGCUCACUGUGCCCUCCAUGUGGAAUGCCCUUUCUCCAGCCCUCUGUAUGGCUGACUUCUUCAGGUCACAGCCCAAUGUCACCUCCUCUGUCUUGUCCAGUGCCCUCAACAGAGCCUGGUACAUAGUAGGUACUGAAAAAAUAUUUGAUUCUUGACUCCAUCGAGCAUUGCAUAACACUGCAUGUUAACCACUGGCUGGGCACAGUGGCUUACACCUGUAAUCCCAGCACUUUGGGAAGCCAAGGCAGGCAGAUGGCUUGAGCUCAGGGGUUCAAGAACAGCCUAGGCAACAUAGCGAGACCUAUCUCGCUAUUUAAAAAUUUUAAAAUUAGCUGAGUGUGGUGGUGCAUGCCUAUAGUCUGAGCUACUUGCGAGGCUGAGGUGCGAAGAUUGCUUGAGCCCAGGAGGUGGAGGUUGCAGUGAGCCAAGAUCAUGCCACUGCAUUCCAGACUGGAUGACAGAGCAAGGCCCUAUCUCAAAAACAGAAGAAAAAAAAAAGAACAUGAGCUCCUGAGGUGGUGGCCUGGGUUACAACCCUGGCCUGUCCAUUUCAGUAGCUGGGUGACUCCAUGCCUUUUUAAACCUCAGUUUCCUGAAAUGUAAAGUGGAGAUAAUCCUACUCCCUACCUUGUAGUCAUUGCAAGGAUUACAGGAGGCUGGCACUUAAUCAGGGGCCAGUACAAGUACUGUUGUUAGAGUUCAGGGAGCAAUCCAUUUGGAUUUCCUCACCCGCUGCGGCCUGUGGAGGAGUCUGCGAUGCAGUGACUGGAGGGAGAGUGAGCCUCUAGGCUAGGGGUUCACCUAAGCCAUUGCUUAGGAUUUUUUUUUUUUUUUUGAGACAAGAGUCUCACUCUAUCGCCCAAGCUGGAGUGCAGUGGUACGAUCUCGGCUCACUGCAACCUCUGCCUCCCUGGUUCAAGUGAUUCUCCUACCUCAGCCUCCCGAGUAGCUGGGAUUACAGGUGCGCACCACCAUGCCCAGCUAAUUUUUGUAUUUUUAGUAGAGACGGGGUUUCACCAUGUUGGCCAGUCUGGUCUCAAGUUCCUGACCUCAGGUGAUCCACCUGCCUCAGCCUCCCAAAGUGCUGGGAUUACAGCCAUGCGCCACCGCACCCAGCCAGGAUUUUUAAAAAGGAAGGAAGAGUUGUACUUGACAGGUACCAAGGAAUUGC